GCACAAGCGGUGGAGCAUGUGGUUAAUUCGAUGAUACGCGAGGAACCUUACCUGGGCUUAAAUGUAGAGUGCAUUUUCUAGAGAUAGGAAUUCCCUUCGGGGCUUUCUGCAAGGUGCUGCAUGGUUGUCGUCAGCUCGUGCCGUGAGGUGUCGGGUUAAGUCCCAUAACGAGCGCAACCCUUAUCGUUAGUUGCCAUCUGGUAAAGCAGGGGACUCUAGCGAAACUGCCACCGUAAGGUGAGAGGAAGGUGGGGAUGACGUCAAAUCAGCACGGCCCUUAUGUCCAGGGCUACACACGUGUUACAAUGGCCGGUACAGAGGGCAGCUACCUGGUGACAGGAUGCUAAUCUCGAAAACCGGUCUCAGUUCGGAUCGAAGUCUGCAACUCGACUUCGUGAAGCUGGAUUCGCUAGUAAUCGCGCAUCAGCCAUGGCGCGGUGAAUACGUUCCCGGGCCUU
This 458-nucleotide ribosomal RNA is filed under the name uncultured Sphingobacteriales bacterium. RNAcentral describes it as "bacterial SSU rRNA". It matches the Rfam family "Bacterial small subunit ribosomal RNA", at positions 923 to 1382 of the family's 1533-position model. The record is from RNAcentral. Lineage: Bacteria; Pseudomonadati; Bacteroidota; Sphingobacteriia; Sphingobacteriales.